AAGCCAUGGUGAGGGCAUAAUCUCAUCAACUCCUUGAAUCUAUCCCAAGCAUCAUAUAGUAAUUCACCAUCUCUUUGAGAAAAACCAGUGAUUUGGUUAUGAAAUU
Small nucleolar RNA from Dioscorea cayenensis subsp. rotundata (Guinea yam), 106 nucleotides. NCBI's taxonomy places the organism in Eukaryota, Viridiplantae, Streptophyta, Magnoliopsida, Dioscoreales, Dioscoreaceae. The record is from RefSeq and is a predicted model, not a curated record.